This 348-nucleotide ribosomal RNA is filed under the name uncultured bacterium. RNAcentral's name for it is "bacterial SSU rRNA". It matches the Rfam family "Bacterial small subunit ribosomal RNA", at positions 920 to 1271 of the family's 1533-position model. The record is from RNAcentral.
GACCCCGCACAAGCGGUGGAUCAUGUUGUUUAAUUCGAAGAUACGCGAAAAACCUUACCAGGUCUUGACAUCCCUUGCAAUGCUGUAGAGAUACAGUGGAGGUUAUCAAGGAGACAGGUGGUGCAUGGUUGUCGUCAGCUCGUGUCGUGAGAUGUUGGUUAAGUCCCGCAACGAGCGCAACCCUUAUUGCUAGUUGCCAUCAUUUAGUUGGGGACUCUAGCGAGACUGCCAGUGAUAAACUGGAGGAAGGUGGGGAUGACGUCAAAUCAUCAUGCCCCUUAUGACCUGGGCUACACACGUGCUACAAUGGCGAUGACAGUGGGCAGCGACCCCGCAAGGGUGAGCUAA